CGGGCGUCUUAACAUGCAAGUCGAACGAUUAAAGCACCUUCGGGUGUGUAUAAAGUGGCGAACGGCUGAGUAACACGUGGGCAACCUGCCCCUUUCAUCGGGAUAGCCACGGGAAACCGUGGAUAAUACCGAAUACUUCGAGACUUCCGCAUGGAAGACUCGAGAAAGCUCCGGCGGAGAGGGAUGGGCCCGCGGCCUGUUAGCUUGUUGGUGGGGUAACGGCCUACCAAGGCAAUGAUGGGUAGCUGGGUUGAGAGACCGACCAGCCAGAUUGGGACUGAGACACGGCCCAGACUCCUACGGGAGGCAGCAGUGGGGAAUCUUGCACAAUGGGCGAAAGCCUGAUGCAGCGACGCCGCGUGCGGGAUGAAGGCCUUCGGGUUGUAAACCGCUUUCAGCAGGGACGAGGCGAAAGUGACGGUACCUGCAGAAGAAGCCCGGCUAAAC
Molecule: ribosomal RNA, 447 nt
Filed under: Lancefieldella parvula
Lineage: Bacteria; Bacillati; Actinomycetota; Coriobacteriia; Coriobacteriales; Atopobiaceae
Description: bacterial SSU rRNA
Rfam family: Bacterial small subunit ribosomal RNA
Source: RNAcentral